GAUGAACGCUAGCUACAGGCUUAACACAUGCAAGUCGAGGGGAAACGACAUCGAAAGCUUGCUUUUGAUGGGCGUCGACCGGCGCACGGGUGAGUAACGCGUAUCCAACCUGCCCACCACUUGGGGAUGACCUUGCGAAAGUAAGACUAAUACCCAAUGAUAUCUCUAGAAGACAUCUGAAAGAGAUUAAAGAUUUAUCGGUGAUGGAUGGGGAUGCGUCUGAUUAGCUUGUUGGCGGGGUAACGGCCCACCAAGGCAACGAUCAGUAGGGGUUCUGAGAGGAAGGUCCCCCACAUUGGAACUGAGACACGGUCCAAACUCCUACGGGAGGCAGCAGUGAGGAAUAUUGGUCAAUGGACGAGAGUCUGAACCAGCCAAGUAGCGUGCAGGAAGACGGCCCUAUGGGUUGUAAACUGCUUUUAUAAGGGAAUAAAGUGAGUCUCGGGAGACUUUUUGCAUGUACCUUAUGAAUAAGGACCGGCUAAUUCCGUG
Molecule: ribosomal RNA, 492 nt
Filed under: uncultured bacterium
Lineage: Bacteria
Description: partial 16S ribosomal RNA
Rfam family: Bacterial small subunit ribosomal RNA
Source: RNAcentral